CCUUAAUUGGACCUCACUUCACAUAAAUUCCGGUUUUUGUUGAAAUCCUCUGAUUCAAUAGCAAAACAAAACAAAAGUCCCUCUUCUGCUUGCUAACUAGAUUAACUUGGGCUAGUUCCUGAUUUUCUCUGAACUUCACCUGCCUCAUUUUUAAAUAGGAAAAUAAUACCUGUUCUUUCCUAUCUCAAAAGGUUGUUGUCAGAAUC
RNAcentral lists this long non-coding RNA (206 nucleotides) under Homo sapiens (human). RNAcentral describes it as "non-protein coding lnc-MDFIC2-1:1". The record is from RNAcentral. Lineage: Eukaryota; Metazoa; Chordata; Mammalia; Primates; Hominidae.